RNAcentral lists this transfer RNA (74 nucleotides) under Lepisosteus oculatus (spotted gar). It matches the Rfam family "tRNA". Rfam says of the family: Transfer RNA (tRNA) molecules are approximately 80 nucleotides in length. Their secondary structure includes four short double-helical elements and three loops (D, anti-codon, and T loops). Further hydrogen bonds mediate the characteristic L-shaped molecular structure. tRNAs have two regions of fundamental functional importance: the anti-codon, which is responsible for specific mRNA codon recognition, and the 3' end, to which the tRNAs corresponding amino acid is attached (by aminoacyl-tRNA synthetases). tRNAs cope with the degeneracy of the genetic code in two manners: having more than one tRNA (with a specific anti-codon) for a particular amino acid; and 'wobble' base-pairing, i.e. permitting non-standard base-pairing at the 3rd anti-codon position. Lineage: Eukaryota; Metazoa; Chordata; Actinopteri; Semionotiformes; Lepisosteidae. The record is from Rfam by way of RNAcentral.
AGCUGGUUAGCUCAAUUGGGAAGCAUGUGGUGCUGAUAACACCAAGGUUGUGGGUUCAAUCCCCAUAUGGGCCA